CCUACGGGAGGCAGCAGUGGGGUAUAUUGCACAAUGGGGGAAACCCUGAUGCAGCGACGCCGCGUGUGGGAAGACGGUCCUCUGGAUUGUAAACCACUGUCCCCAGGGACGAAGAUGACGGUACCUGGGGAGGAAGCUCCGGCUAACUACGUGCCAGCAGCCGCGGUACUACGUAGGGAGCGAGCGUUGUCCGGAAUUACUGGGUGUAAAGGGAGCGUAGGCGGGACUGCAAGUUGGGUGUCAAAUCUACCGGCUCAACCGGUAGCCGCACUCAAAACUGCAGUUCUUGAGUGAAGUAGAGGCAGGCGGAAUUCCUAGUGUAGCGGUGAAAUGCGUAGAUAUUAGGAGGAACACCAGUGGCGAAGGCGGCCUGCUGGGCUUUUACUGACGCUGAGGCUCGAAAGUGUGGGGAGCAAACAGGAUUAGAUACCCUUGUAGUC
Molecule: ribosomal RNA, 440 nt
Filed under: uncultured bacterium
Lineage: Bacteria
Description: partial 16S ribosomal RNA
Rfam family: Bacterial small subunit ribosomal RNA
Source: RNAcentral